Calidris pugnax (ruff) is the source of this 1028-nucleotide long non-coding RNA. RefSeq lists it as uncharacterized. Lineage: Eukaryota; Metazoa; Chordata; Aves; Charadriiformes; Scolopacidae. The transcript is spliced from 7 exons. The record is from RefSeq and is a predicted model, not a curated record.
CCCCGGCCCCGCCGCCCGGAUGGCGCUGAAGCGGGUGGCAGAGCUGCAGGUGGACGCGGUUACUUGUUCGAGUGUGUUUCUGUCUGAGAAACAUGACCUUUUUCUCAGUGUGUGCAUCCUGGGUCAACACAGAGAGAGAAAAUGCCUUCCUCCGUUUUUCUCUCUCGUUUCAUGAGAAGAUAUGCUUUGAAAAGGAGGCAACGCCCUUGCAUUUUAUGAAGGGAAUACAUGAGACCUUCUGUUCCCAGAAUACAAGCUGACUCCUGCAUGUCCUGGUGUGGAUAGGGAAUUACUGAUGAAAACUUCUCAUCAUUUUCCAGGAAAUUGCACCAAAAAUAGAGUUCUCCACAAGAACAACCAUUACAGAACUUCCACUUCAGUGCAGAAGAAAGAAUUAUGGCUGAAAGAGAACAAGGAAUCAAAGAUCUGCAUCACCAAAACAGGAACCAAUCACUAACACAAUGCAAGACAUCAGUGAAAGAAGAAAAAAAAUAUGGAAGGUAUAUGAAGUCCUAAAAAUCACAAGCUCCUUCUCUAAAUGCUAGAGGCCACUUCUGUGAACUCCACAGAGAAAAUCAGCAGCAGCCAUCAAGACUGCGCCUGGAGUCUGCUGAGUGCAAAUCAGAAAAUGAGAACAGGCCACCAUUUGUCUGACAUGUCCUUAAUCUUAUUUACUCCCUUCUUGUCCGGACUCUCAGGCCUCUUCAAGGAUACACAGAUGUCUGCACAAGGCCAAUGCUAAGGCUCCCAUGGACAAGCCAAAGUUUCCCACAGGUGGAACAGCUCUGGUGACUGCUGGGUUCUGACUUGAAGAACACGCUGAGCCUGAUGCCUCUAUUCCAUCGGAGUGCUGUUCUAUUCCAUCUGAAUGCUCUUCAUUUCUCUCUGGAUAUACAGCAUUUUACUCUCUCCAAUGUUAAGUAACAUUGUUGACUGAAAUAAACUGCGGGCUACACUACAAUACCUGAACACCAUGGAGUACUGAAGUGGAAAUAAAGAGCUCUGCCAUUACUUUUCAUUUCUAUAAA